This 777-nucleotide ribosomal RNA is filed under the name uncultured bacterium. RNAcentral's name for it is "bacterial SSU rRNA". It matches the Rfam family "Bacterial small subunit ribosomal RNA", at positions 127 to 916 of the family's 1533-position model. The record is from RNAcentral.
UGCCCUUCACACUGGGAUACCCCCCGGAAACGGGUGCUAAUACCAGAUACAACCACUUCAGGCAUCUGAUGGUGGUGGAAAGUUCUGGCGGUGAAGGAUGAGCUCGCGGCCUAUCAGCUUGUUGGUGAGGUAAUGGCCCACCAAGGCUUCGACGGGUAGCCGGCCUGAGAGGGUGACCGGCCACACNNNACUGAGACACGGCCCAGACUCCUACGGGAGGCAGCAGUGGGGAAUAUUGGACAAUGGGCGAAAGCCUGAUCCAGCAACGCCGCGUGAGGGAUGACGGCCUUCGGGUUGUAAACCUCUUUCAGCAGGGACGAAGCGAAAGUGACGGUACCUGCAGAAGAAGCACCGGCCAACUACGUGCCAGCAGCCGCGGUAAUACGUAGGGUGCGAGCGUUGUCCGGAAUUAUUGGGCGUAAAGGGCUCGUAGGCGGUUUGUCACGUCGGGAGUGAAAACUCAGGGCUUAACCCUGAGCCUGCUUCCGAUACGGGCAGACUAGAGGUAUGCAGGGGAGAACGGAAUUCCUGGUGUAGCGGUGAAAUGCGCAGAUAUCAGGAGGAACACCGGUGGCGAAGGCGGUUCUCUGGGCAUUACCUGACGCUGAGGAGCGAAAGUGUGGGGAGCGAACAGGAUUAGAUACCCUGGUAGUCCACACCGUAAACGUUGGGCGCUAGGUGUGGGACUCAUUCCACGAGUUCCGUGCCGCAGCUAACGCAUUAGGCGCCCCGCCUGGGGAGUACGGCCGCAAGGCUAAAACUCAAAGGAAUUGACGG